ACAAGAACAAAUGAGUUACAUUAACAACACAAGAAGCCGAAACUAAAACAAGAUACAAGAUAGAUAGUUAGACAAGUGUUGAUGUAGUCUUAACAACCCAAGAGGAUAUUCCACUCUUGGACCUUUAACACUUCACACAACAAACACCUAACUCUUACAAUUGACAUAAGAGAGGAGUCCACCACCCAAGCACCAACGUAUCAAGCAAAAUGCAACACACAAGAGAAUCCACCCUUAUGCUAUGUCCUAGUUUCGGUUGUGGACUCUCUCUCUAAGAGGAGUGUUCUUUCUUCAACAUUCAUAAAAACUACCAAUUAAAACCCUACAAUGUUCAAUUAAUAUUACAUUACAAAAUAAAAGACAAAAGACUAAAAGACCCUUUAAAGAAAAGGGCUCCAAAAACAACCCAUGGAGUGUGCUUGGGAUGGUUUUGGGCCUCCUUCAAACUUAGACUUGUGCACUCUUUAGGUGGUCUUCAAAAUACUCAAAAAGUGGACAUGAUCGUGAUCGUAUUCGUAUCAUCCUCUUCAUCUUUAGAGGAAUUUGACCACAAAUUCACGUCUUCACCUCGUGUAAUUGGCCCUCUAAAAGAAACCACCCAAAACAGUCCGCAAAACAUCAAGAAAGUGCACAAAACAGUCCACGAAAAAACAAAGGGAACCCGAGGAUACAAUGAGAACAAGUCUCGGCUAUCAUCUUGAUUUUGAACCUCGGCUUCCUCUCCAUCUUGAGCCUUGUCUUCAAUCUCAUCCGAAACAAGUCUCCUACCAUCAUACAAGCAUUGUCGUAUACCCCGUAUCCUUUAUGUUCCUUUCUACCAUUCUCUUCUAUAUGGACAUGUCGGGUUUGGUGUAGUGGAGCUUCGGUUGAGAGUCUUGCUUUGGUUAAGUGGGGUUCGGUUGUGGAGUUUGGAUGGGAGGAAAUUUGCUUCCAAGUCCUCCUUGUUGGACUUGAUUAACUUGCGGGGGAAGUGGUCUAUCUUAUUCUCGGUUUUGAGGUCUAUUUGGAGCUUGAAUUUUGGCAUUAUGUGGUGGUCUUGGAGGAUUGGUCAUUGGAAGUAAAGUUGCCGGAGUAAAAGCACGAUAGUUCCUUAGACUCUCCAUUCGAUCCAACCUCUCACUCAUAGUUACCACAUCCGAGUCAAUUUUUUCAAGAUCUACAUUUGCCCUAGAAAUUUCUCGGGACAAAGCAUCAAGGAGGGCCAAAAUGGUUUCCAUUAUGGCCAAAAGUUACCUACAAAACAACAAACAAGUUAGUUGUACAAGAAUGAUCCUCACACUCCCUCUCUAUUUUUUUGUCUCUCGGAUUUUUCACACUUUGAUCUCACAAGUGUCGUAACCUUUCUUGUACUCCAUGAGGCAUUGAGAGGUGGACCAAGUAUUACAACGAGUCAAAAGAAUAACACACACAAAAGAACGUAUACACGGAGAACGGUUUCAAAAUUAACUUACAUUCUAUUACUAGCUUGUAAGUUAGUAAUGGAAUCAACAAACGAAACUAAAGAAACAAUAAAAUGAAACUAAGAAAUCUAAAAUUUGAGCUUAAAAAUUGUGAACAGUAAAAAUAUGAUGAUGUGGCAACCCUCAAUUGGCCACAGUUUUGUCAAGUUUUAUUGUCCAAGGUUCAAGUCUUGACCAAUUUUUGAUCUAGAUUGGUGGAAUUAUUUAAGGAGGGAAAGAAUACGUAUUGGAACUCUUUUUUAACUCAAGUUUCAAGACUUGGACUUUUGUAGUAUUUUCUCUUAAAACAAGGCCCUCAAAACAUGGAAGUUGGUUGGAAAAGGGUUGUAAAGUUUUUGAGUGGUUGGAAGUGGUGGUAAAAGUCUUUGAUGACUAACAAAUACUACACAUCCUUCCUUCUCCCUCUUAUAUAUAACAUUUUCAAUAAAAGAUGAAGAUUGGUGAAGAACACCAAGAACACAAACUUUUAAACCUUGGAGUCUAAGGUUCAAGUUGGUCUCACACUUCAAUCAACACUUUGUCAAGUUCCACCUUUCAACAACAACUUCAACAAUAAGUUAUUAAGCCACCAAUUCACAACAAUAACACAAUUUCAAGCUCAAGAACUCAACAACAACAACACCAACCUUCAACAAUAAGGAUCAACACAUGGCCACUUCAAGUUCACAACAACAAUGUCAAUGUUAUAAGCUCAACCUUUAGAUCUAGACACUUUUAGUGUUGGUGAUAAAGAACCAACACUAGAAACACACUAGACAAACAAAAUAACUACAAUAUAUAGUCAAGAAAAAUAAGAAAAUCUCAGCCAAGACAACAACACAACACAAUUUUUGGCCAAGAACACAAAAAUGGACAGAUUGCUAUUUUUUGGAAUUUUUCAGUUUUUAUAAUUUUUUUUUGACUAAUCAAACCCAAGAUUGGAUUUGUGGGAACAAAAAUCAGCCUUUAUUUGAUUCCAAAUGAUACGGAACAAACAAGGGAACACGAAAUCACAGCCCAAACAAUCCACCAAUGAUAUGGGUCAAAGAGGCAUCUUAGCACUCGAGGACAUGAAGACGUGAGUGAAGACCCAAGAUUGUGGGUCUGCCCAUCCAAGGAACAAGCUUUGAAGUGUAUGGAACAAGUCCCACACUCCAAAGCUGUUACUGUUCAUCCAUCACUAUUCAUCCUCCCAUUUGCAAGGGUUUUUUGGUCAUUUGUAAUAAGUUACCCUAGCUAUAAAUAUAACCUUAUUAGGUAAUUUUGGGGCAGAUUUUUUAUGAUAUUUUUAGCCUCUUUUGAGAGCCUCUUAGCAAGGUGGAAUCCUUGGGCAAGGUGGAAUCCUUGUGUAGAUCAUUUUCUUAGAAAUGGAGAUUGCUUGGGGAAUUCUGGUUUCCUUGAGGUCACGUAAGAGAUAGGUUUAGGUUGUGUGUGAUAUUAAAGGUCCAAAAGUGGAAUAAUCUUUUGGGUUUUUAAUAUUAUACCAUUCCUUUGUCUAUCUAUCUAUCUUUACUUUCUUGUAAUUAUUUGUCUAUAUGUGUUGUUAUUAUUGCAUCUUGUUCAUCAAGUGUUGUUGCUGUUUUAGUGUGUUUUACUCUUGAUAUCACUUUUCUUCUUGCUCUUCUUGCGAAUCCGAGAGAGGUCAUCAAAAGGGUCCAUAGUUCUUGAACUAGUGAACUAAUUUUGGUGUUUGUGUUGUUGGGUUCUUGGGGAAUUUGGUAUCAUUUGGUAUCAGAGCAUGGCUAGAUCUUGUUCCUACAAAAUCAAUCUUGGUCUUGCUUGUUAGAAAAUUCAAAAAAAAAGUUGAAAUCUAAAAAUUCCAAAAAGAAGCAAAUCUGUCCAUUUUUGUGUCUUGGCCGAAAUUGUGUUCUUUGCUUCCUCACCUCUAACACUAAAGAAUUCUAGAUCUAGAUUUAAGCUUUAAUUGCUGAUGUUGUUGUUGUGAACCUAAACUUUGGCCGUGUGAUUGUUGUUGGUAUUGUUGUUGCGGAUUCAAAGCUUGGACGUGUGGUGUGUUGUUGGUUCAAGGUUUGAACGUGUAUAGUGGUUAUUGUAUUGUAUUUUAAGCUUGGAAAGGUGUUGUUGAUGUUUGGGGUCCAAAUUGAACCUUAGAACUUCAAGAUUCAAAAAUUAUGUUAUUCACAUCUUCAUCUAUUAUUGAAGAAAAAGUGGAUAUUUGAUCUUGGAAGUUGAAGAAAGAGAGAGUGUAUUUUGUUAGUCUUGAAAGAAAAAUUUCC
RNAcentral lists this long non-coding RNA (3676 nucleotides) under Capsicum annuum. Its description in RNAcentral is "long non-coding RNA (CANN_LNC021508)". Lineage: Eukaryota; Viridiplantae; Streptophyta; Magnoliopsida; Solanales; Solanaceae. The record is from RNAcentral.